This 1020-nucleotide ribosomal RNA is filed under the name Lactobacillus delbrueckii subsp. bulgaricus. RNAcentral's name for it is "partial 23S ribosomal RNA". It matches the Rfam family "Bacterial large subunit ribosomal RNA", at positions 319 to 1345 of the family's 2925-position model. Lineage: Bacteria; Bacillati; Bacillota; Bacilli; Lactobacillales; Lactobacillaceae. The record is from RNAcentral.
ACUUCAGAGGAUAGCAGAAGCGUUUGGGAAAGCGCGCCAGAGAGGGUGAGAGCCCCGUAAGCGAAAUCCAAAGAAGGCCUAUCAGUAUCCUGAGUAGGGCGGGACACGUGAAAUCCCGUUUGAAUCCGCGAGGACCAUCUCGCAAGGCUAAAUACUAACCAGUGACCGAUAGUGAACCAGUACCGUGAGGGAAAGGUGAAAAGAACCCCGGGAGGGGAGUGAAAGAGAACCUGAAACCGUGUGCCUACAAGUAGUCAGAGCCCGUUAACGGGUAAUGGCGUGCCUUUUGUAGAAUGAACCGGCGAGUUGCGUUAGUCAGCAAGGUUAAGUCAGAAAAGACGGAGCCGUAGCGAAAGCGAGUCUGAAGAGGGCGAGCAGUUGGCUGACGCAGACCCGAAACCAAGUGACCUACCCAUGACCAGGUUGAAGGCGCGGUAAAACGCGCUGGAGGACCGAACCCACGUAAGUUGAAAAUUGCGGGGAUGAGUUGUGGGUAGCGGUGAAAUUCCAAACGAACUUGGAGAUAGCUGGUUCUCUCCGAAAUAGCUUUAGGGCUAGCCUCGCAAAGAGGAUGCUGGAGGUAGAGCUCUGUUUGGACUAGGGGCCCGUCAAGGGUUACUGAAUUCAGAUAAACUGCGAAUUCCAGACAUUUAUGUGCGGGAGUCAGACUGCGAGUGAUAAGAUCCGUAGUCGAAAGGGAAACAGCCCAGAUCACCAGUUAAGGUCCCAAAAUUCAUGCUAAGUGGAAAAGGAUGUGGAGUUGCGCAGACAACUAGGACGUUGGCUCAGAAGCAGCCAUCAUUCAAAGAGUGCGUAAUAGCUCACUAGUCGAGUGACGCCGCGCCGAAAAUUUACCGGGGCUAAGCAUGAUACCGAAACUGUGGAUGUGCGUUUAUGCACGUGGUAGGAGAGCGUUCUAGCGGCGGUGAAGCAUGACCGAGAGGACAUGUGGAGCUUCUAGAAGUGAGAAUGCCGGUAUGAGUAACGAAAGACAGGUGAGAAUCCUGUCCGCCGCAAGAC